GUCGAACGCUGGCGGCGUGCCUAAUACAUGCAAGUCGAGCGAAGUUUUUCUGGUGCUUGCACCGGAAAAACUUAGCGGCGAACGGGUGAGUAAUACGUAAAGAACCUGCCUCAUAGACUGGGACAACUCUUGGAAACGAUAGCUAAUCCCGGAUAAUAGCCUUAACUGCAUGGUUGAUGUUUAAAAGUUGGUUUUGUUAACACUAUGAGAUGGCUUUGCGGUGCAUUAGCUAGUUGGUGGGGUAAAGGCCUACCAAGGCGACGAUGCAUAGCCGACCUGAGAGGAUGAUCAGCCACACUGGGACUGAGACACGGCCCAGACUCCUACGGGAGGCAGCAGUAGGGAAUCUUCCACAAUGGGCGAAAGCCUGACGGAGCAACGCCGCGUGUGUGAAGAAGGAUUUCGGGUCGUAAAGCUCUGUUGUUAGGGAAGAAGGAUUGUGUAGUAACUAUACACAGUAGAGACGGUACCUAACCAGAAAGCCACGGCUAACUACGUG
This 499-nucleotide ribosomal RNA is filed under the name uncultured bacterium. RNAcentral's name for it is "partial 16S ribosomal RNA". It matches the Rfam family "Bacterial small subunit ribosomal RNA", at positions 28 to 507 of the family's 1533-position model. The record is from RNAcentral.